CUCGCCUCCCCUCCCCUCCCGGUGCCCGGGGACACGCGGGCCCAGCUCCAGCCCGCAGCCCAGACCCCACGCGCUCUGCGGCUCCCGCCCUAGCCCUGGGGGCUCGGCUCCAGCCGAAUAAUGUAUUCGCUCUGCAACCUUCUGGGAUGUCUCGUCUUUUUUUAUUUGGUUUAGUUUUGUUGUUGUUGUGUGUGCGUGUGAUUAAAAAAAAAAAAAAUCUGUGCCUUUCCCACCCUUUGCAAAAGACUUUCUUUUCCUUUGCCACAGCAAACGGAGAUGAGAAACAGAUGUCUUUGCAGGACCAAGCAGUUACUCUCCCCUCGCCGCCCGCCCCCGCCGGCUCCCCUCCUGAGCUGCAUAUGUAAGAAAAAGCAACCUUGGUCCUGCUGCAACUUGAAUUGGCAACCCUUCCUCUGGGUGGGGAUCCUCCAGAGAAAACCUCCAGGAAAUAAAAAUGAUCCUCCGACUGUGAAAAACCAAACCUCUGGCUGCCUGGCUCCCUAGGAAUCCAGGACCUGCACAGACUGAAAAUCAGGGAGGGAAGGAACAAGAUCAAGGAUGAGGAUUAGCAUCUGCAAAUUGAACUCUAUCUAAUUUGCAUGUUUAUUUCUUAGAAUUGUAAUUAAAUUUGUGUAAUAAAUGUUUUCCAUUUCAUUUGUACACUUAAAAUCUGGGUGACUGACAUGCAGUUAAGUGAAUUUCCUUUUUUUUUUUUUUAAAGCAAAUGCAGUUUAUUCAAUAAAGCAGCAAACAAAUAUUAAACAUAAUUAGAACUAAUCUGUUCCGAAGGUGUUUUUGUUGAACUUUGUACAUUAAAGACUCUCAGAGGUUUUGAGGGUAUUAGGAAGCUGAGAGACGGCAAUUAUGCUGAAAACAGACGAACCCAACAGCCUACCAGGAGCUUUAUUCCAUUUUUUCCAAAAGACAUUCCAGGGUUGCAUGCCUAAAAUUGGGAAUUGGGCAUCCAUCUUGGCUGUAUUCUGAACCAUAUUAAAUUGCAUUGGCUCAUGCUCCAUGUAGGUCAUUAUGAUGACAAUUUAAGAAUUGUAAAGAUGCCAUUUUGUAUAAUCAAUGGGAGUUGCAUGCGUCCAGAUUAAGGGUAGAAUAUAAUUUUCAUUUGAGUGGGGGAGCAGAGUAAGGACAGGCAAAGGGCAUUUAAAGCAGUUAAACUACUUAAAAAUCUAAAUCAGUAUCUAAAACUGGUUAUUGUCUAAGUCAAAUAAAGAACUAAAUGUGAGGGCUUGGAGGCAUGGCUUAUUAUGGUUUUUAUCUCCCUAUAUUAAAGUUUUAUAGCAUUUAAAGGACUAUGGGGAAAUCCCCACAUACACUUGGCUGUGUCAAAAUGCAUAAAACCAAAAGGAGCAAAUUAAGCAUAAAAUUGAGAAAUAACAUGAGACUAAGUAUCAGCAUGGGUGCAUUGGCAUCUUUGGAGCUUUGGCUCUGACAAAUGAGCCUUCUGGGAAAUUGGCAUUGCCCUUGGGUGGAGAAGACUCUUGGCUUUAAUGUUACAACAAAAUGACAUCACAACACGAAUCUCAAAUCAUUGUACCUCACAGCACACUUGCAGUUCUGAGUGUAACCUCAACCCUGUCCUGUUCGGAUCCAUUAGGUUAGCAUAUUUUACUGACAGCUUUCCCUGCCCUACUUUUAAUCCCAAGCUUAAUGUUUUCUGAGAUUCAGUGCCCAACUGUUGACAACGUGAACCUGUGUCUACAAGUAGAAAAGGCAGUCAAAGGUCUAUGGAAUGAGAAAUAUCAUUUAAAAAUUUAAAGGAAGGGGUGGCUAUGGCAUGAGAAAAGAACUGACUAUAAAUCAACAAUGAAAUAUUUGAAAUAAGUGAAUGUUAUUUAUAAUGAGGUACAAUAUUCAACUGAGAGCAAUGAUGUCAUCGUUUUGGGGGGUGUGUGUGUGUGUGUGUAUGAGAGACAGAGAGAGAGAAGUUCCAAGAUAGAAGUUUGGUUGUAAAACUUAAAAUACUUUGAGCUGCAAAUUUACUGAAGGCAGAGAUUGUUUUUCUUCAGUUAACAAAGAGAGUGCCAGACUUAAAACUGCUGAAACCCAUUUCACGAAACCUUUUUCUCAUUAGAUAGGGAGAUUUCACAAGUAAAAUUUGACUUCUUCAGAUUGCUGUGGACACCAUGCCCAUGUGGAUUAAUAAAAAGUCUGAAUUACUGGCUUUUUGAAAAAAAAAUGCAAGCUUUUUAUAGCAAAAGAAGGCAUCGACACUCAGUCUCCCCAGUUCCUCUUCUCCUGAUCUCAAACCUUUCUUUAUUAGACUUUCUUAUUCCAUUACUCCAUUGAAACCCCAUUCCAGCCCAUGUCACCAGUGACUUCCACAUUGC
This 2342-nucleotide long non-coding RNA is filed under the name Microcebus murinus (gray mouse lemur). Its description in RNAcentral is "lncRNA (ENSMICG00000048272.1)". The record is from RNAcentral. Lineage: Eukaryota; Metazoa; Chordata; Mammalia; Primates; Cheirogaleidae.